ACCAUGCAAGUCGAACGGUGAAGCCCAGCUUGCUGGGUGGAUCAGUGGCGAACGGGUGAGUAACACGUGAGCAACCUGCCCCUGACUCUGGGAUAAGCGCUGGAAACGGCGUCUAAUACUGGAUAUGUGACGUGACCGCAUGGUCUGCGUCUGGAAAGAAUUUCGGUUGGGGAUGGGCUCGCGGCCUAUCAGCUUGUUGGUGAGGUAAUGGCUCACCAAGGCGUCGACGGGUAGCCGGCCUGAGAGGGUGACCGGCCACACUGGGACUGAGACACGGCCCAGACUCCUACGGGAGGCAGCAGUGGGGAAUAUUGCACAAUGGGCGCAAGCCUGAUGCAGCAACGCCGCGUGAGGGAUGACGGCCUUCGGGUUGUAAACCUCUUUUAGCAGGGAAGAAGCGAAAGUGACGGUACCUGCAGAAAAAGCGCCGGCUAACUACGUGCCAGCAGCCGCGGUAAUACGUAGGGCGCAAGCGUUAUCCGGAAUUAUUGGGCGUAAAGAGCUCGUAGGCGGUUUGUCGCGUCUGCUGUGAAAUCCGGAGGCUCAACCUCCGGCCUGCAGUGGGUACGGGCAGACUAGAGUGCGGUAGGGGAGAUUGGAAUUCCUGGUGUAGCGGUGGAAUGCGCAGAUAUCAGGAGGAACACCGAUGGCGAAGGCAGAUCUCUGGGCCGUAACUGACGCUGAGGAGCGAAAGGGUGGGGAGCAAACAGGCUUAGAUACCCUGGUAGUCCACCCCGUAAACGUUGGGAACUAGUUGUGGGGUCCAUUCCACGGAUUCCGUGACGCAGCUAACGCAUUAAGUUCCCCGCCUGGGGAGUACGGCCGCAAGGUAAA
This 834-nucleotide ribosomal RNA is filed under the name Microbacterium sp. HCA1-18_Pa. RNAcentral describes it as "bacterial SSU rRNA". It matches the Rfam family "Bacterial small subunit ribosomal RNA", at positions 53 to 897 of the family's 1533-position model. The record is from RNAcentral. Lineage: Bacteria; Bacillati; Actinomycetota; Actinomycetes; Micrococcales; Microbacteriaceae.